This 69-nucleotide transfer RNA is filed under the name Cricetulus griseus (Chinese hamster). It matches the Rfam family "tRNA". From Rfam's summary of the family: Transfer RNA (tRNA) molecules are approximately 80 nucleotides in length. Their secondary structure includes four short double-helical elements and three loops (D, anti-codon, and T loops). Further hydrogen bonds mediate the characteristic L-shaped molecular structure. tRNAs have two regions of fundamental functional importance: the anti-codon, which is responsible for specific mRNA codon recognition, and the 3' end, to which the tRNAs corresponding amino acid is attached (by aminoacyl-tRNA synthetases). tRNAs cope with the degeneracy of the genetic code in two manners: having more than one tRNA (with a specific anti-codon) for a particular amino acid; and 'wobble' base-pairing, i.e. permitting non-standard base-pairing at the 3rd anti-codon position. Lineage: Eukaryota; Metazoa; Chordata; Mammalia; Rodentia; Cricetidae. The record is from Rfam by way of RNAcentral.
GGUGAUGAACUUCAAUGGUGGAAUGCUUGUCUGACAUACAUGAGGCCCUGGGUUCAAUCUCCAGCACCA